GGAUGAACGCUGGCGGCGUGCCUAAUACAUGCAAGUCGAGCGAACGGACGAGAAGCUUGCUUCUCUGAUGUUAGCGGCGGACGGGUGAGUAACACGUGGAUAACCUACCUAUAAGACUGGGAUAACUUCGGGAAACCGGAGCUAAUACCGGAUAAUAUUUUGAACCGCAUGGUUCAAAAGUGAAAGACGGUCUUGCUGUCACUUAUAGAUGGAUCCGCGCUGCAUUAGCUAGUUGGUAAGGUAACGGCUUACCAAGGCAACGAUGCAUAGCCGACCUGAGAGGGUGAUCGGCCACACUGGAACUGAGACACGGUCCAGACUCCUACGGGAGGCAGCAGUAGGGAAUCUUCCGCAAUGGGCGAAAGCCUGACGGAGCAACGCCGCGUGAGUGAUGAAGGUCUUCGGAUCGUAAAACUCUGUUAUUAGGGAAGAACAUAUGUGUAAGUAACUGUGCACAUCUUGACGGUACCUAAUCAGAAAGCCACGGCUAACUACGUGCCAGCAGCCGCGGUAAUACGUAGGUGGCAAGCGUUAUCCGGAAUUAUUGGGCGUAAAGCGCGCGUAGGCGGUUUUUUAAGUCUGAUGUGAAAGCCCACGGCUCAACCGUGGAGGGUCAUUGGAAACUGGAAAACUUGAGUGCAGAAGAGGAAAGUGGAAUUCCAUGUGUAGCGGUGAAAUGCGCAGAGAUAUGGAGGAACACCAGUGGCGAAGGCGACUUUCUGGUCUGUAACUGACGCUGAUGUGCGAAAGCGUGGGGAUCAAACAGGAUUAGAUACCCUGGUAGUCCACGCCGUAAACGAUGAGUGCUAAGUGUUAGGGGGUUUCCGCCCCUUAGUGCUGCAGCUAACGCAUUAAGCACUCCGCCUGGGGAGUACGACCGCAAGGUUGAAACUCAAAGGAAUUGACGGGGACCCGCACAAGCGGUGGAGCAUGUGGUUUAAUUCGAAGCAACGCGAAGAACCUUACCAAAUCUUGACAUCCUUUGACAACUCUAGAGAUAGAGCCUUCCCCUUCGGGGGACAAAGUGACAGGUGGUGCAUGGUUGUCGUCAGCUCGUGUCGUGAGAUGUUGGGUUAAGUCCCGCAACGAGCGCAACCCUUAAGCUUAGUUGCCAUCAUUAAGUUGGGCACUCUAAGUUGACUGCCGGUGACAAACCGGAGGAAGGUGGGGAUGACGUCAAAUCAUCAUGCCCCUUAUGAUUUGGGCUACACACGUGCUACAAUGGACAAUACAAAGGGCAGCGAAACCGCGAGGUCAAGCAAAUCCCAUAAAGUUGUUCUCAGUUCGGAUUGUAGUCUGCAACUCGACUACAUGAAGCUGGAAUCGCUAGUAAUCGUAGAUCAGCAUGCUACGGUGAAUACGUUCCCGGGUCUUGUACACACCGCCCGUCACACCACGAGAGUUUGUAACACCCGAAGCCGGUGGAGUAACCUUUUAGGAGCUAGCCGUCGAAGGUGGGACAAAUGAUUGGGGUGAAGUCGUAACAAGGUAGCCGUAUCGG
This 1501-nucleotide ribosomal RNA is filed under the name Staphylococcus aureus. RNAcentral's name for it is "partial 16S ribosomal RNA". It matches the Rfam family "Bacterial small subunit ribosomal RNA". The record is from RNAcentral. Lineage: Bacteria; Bacillati; Bacillota; Bacilli; Caryophanales; Staphylococcaceae.